RNAcentral lists this unclassified non-coding RNA (230 nucleotides) under Hevea brasiliensis (rubber tree). Lineage: Eukaryota; Viridiplantae; Streptophyta; Magnoliopsida; Malpighiales; Euphorbiaceae. The record is from RNAcentral.
GGGGACAUGUGCUUAUUCACGCUCCAAAUCCAGUGGACAUUCACGUGCAGGGAUGUGUUGGAGAUAUAAAACUAUUCUCAUGGCCCUCACCUACAAGUUCAAGCUUAUAGGUUAAAGUAGUUUCAUGACAUCUUUUUCCAGAUGGGGGUGUAGGGAAAAUGAAAAGCCAGAGAGAGUGAAAGAGAAAUGGAAACUUUAUCAUCAUAGUUUUUUUUUUGGUUCCUUUUUUU